Molecule: long non-coding RNA, 1752 nt
Organism: Gallus gallus (chicken)
Lineage: Eukaryota; Metazoa; Chordata; Aves; Galliformes; Phasianidae
Source: Ensembl
AGGGAAGGGAAGGGAAGGGAAGGGAAGGGAAGGGAAGGGAAGGGAAGGGAAGGGAAGGGAAGGGAAGGGAAGGGAAGGGAAGGGAAGGGAAGGGAAGGGAAGGGAGUUUUCUAGAAAUUGAACAAUCAUUCAUAUUCCACUUUUCUCAUUUUCAGCAGAAGUGAAUAAGGACCUCCACCAAAAUAAAGUGUGAGCAGUGGUUUGUGACCAGCGUUUUUUGGAAUGUUUACUGGAUACAUGUGUUGGUUUAGUGUAAAAGAUGGCUGUAAGAAAAAAGAAAGAAAAUACAGUAGGAGGUGUACAAGCAGCCAUGCAGAAACAACCAGGGGGUGGUACCCAGCACAGCUCUGAGCUACUUUCAAGCAGUCUGGCCCGACUCUGAUGUACCAGCCCAUGGGGCUGUGAGACAGCAAUGGCUGUCUCCAUGAAAAAAAGGACCAACGCAAGGACCUCAAGGCUGCAGAAAGACCCUCAUUUCAUAGAGGAGAGUGAGUUGUGGAUCUGCGGCAGGGAGAGCAGAGUGGCCUCCAGGGACCAUUGGUGCCAAAUGUAGAAGUUUCUGCUAGCUCAGAAGAUCCCUCACUGCCAUCCUCAGCACACAUCCCAACACACACCAGACGGACAAAGGCACUGUGCCUGGUUUUGCUGCUGCUCCCCAGGUUCUGGUAUGAACUGAAAACGAGUCCAACAUACAAAUUCCAUCAUCUUUUAACUUUUUGUGAUGUAUAAUAUCGGACAGCUCUGUCUAGGCCAAUCCAUCACCAACUAGUCCUGUUGACAUUUUGGAUUCUCCUCCUGACCUUGUCCUUUCAGCACAGGCAUAAUCGUGCUUAUGAUAAUUUUAUUCCCAGUUAGGCAUCUAUUUUGCACACCUUUGAGCUACAGAAUCACUAAGAAGCCGUCCUCUGUGCAGCUGCUGAAACAAGGCACCUUGAGCCCAGUUAUGGUGAAGCGCAGCCUGUGGGGUGGCAGCAAACAGAAGUGGGUGAACACCUCUCUGAGCACACGCAAGCAGGGCCCUGCUCCACGGGAACGCUCUCGCUGGAUGGAGGCGCACACGCGGUCCUCGGAGCGCACCGCCGCGGCCCUCCCGUCCCAACAGCAGCGGCACCGCAUCGCGUCUGCGCUAUUAAGGGUUAUAAUUGGACGGUCCGUAGUUUGCAUAUCAGACCAUUAAAAUAAUGCGCUUCGCUUUUCUUCCGACACGUAACGCUACAGCCUCUGCGAACGUUUGGCCAUUCUGAUAAUUAUCGCCAAAUUACCGCAAAUGUUCUCUUCAUUAAGGUGAUUUCUCUCAAGCAUUUUUAAAAAUGUGAAUAAUGCAUUAAGUGGCGCCUGGUAAAGUGCUUUUAAAUAAAAGUUGUCAACUGCGGUUCCAAAAUGAGACCCAAAGAAAAAAUACAGAUAUGUCACAACUGAACGGGAGGAGACCGAUUCCGCCCCGUGAUUGGAAGGAGCGCCGUUAUUUCCCCGUCUCAGAUAAGGGACCGAACAGCCGCAGCCUCACUGCGCCGGCAGCGGAGGUGCGCGCAGUGCGCGGAGGAGUGAAGUUGGAGCUUUUUCCCUUCGUGGGGAAUAGACGGGGACAGCGUCGGACGGACAGAGAGAUUGACCGGGAAAGCUACUGACCUCUCUCCUUCAGCUGCAAUCUAACUUCUCCUGGAAAAAUAAAAAACAAAACAAAACCAAAGCAGCACGGUGCGGUGCCCCCCCCCGCCCCCCCUCCUCCGCCGCCCCCUUCCCCGCCCCGAG